RNAcentral lists this ribosomal RNA (170 nucleotides) under uncultured bacterium. RNAcentral describes it as "partial 16S rRNA". It matches the Rfam family "Bacterial small subunit ribosomal RNA", at positions 338 to 522 of the family's 1533-position model. The record is from RNAcentral.
CCUACGGGGGGCGGCAGUGGGGAAUAUUGGGCAAUGGGCGAAAGCCUGACCCAGCGACGCCGCGUGAAGGAUGAAGGUCUUCGGAUUGUAAACUUCUUUGAUCAGGGAAGAAAGAAAUGACGGUACCUGAAAAACAAGCCACGGCUAACUACGUGCCAGCAGCCCCGGUC